GUUUGAUCAUGGCUCAGAUUGAACGCUGGCGGAAUGCUUUACACAUGCAAGUCGAACGGCAGCACGAGAGCUUGCUCUUGGUGGCGAGUGGCGAACGGGUGAGUAAUAUAUCGGAACGUAUCCAAUAAUGGGGGAUAACUAAUCGAAAGGUUAGCUAAUACCGCAUACGCCCUACGGGGGAAAGCAGGGGAUCUUCGGACCUUGCGUUAAUGGAGCGGCUGAUAUCUGAUUAGCUAGUAGGUGAGGUAAAGGCUCACCUAGGCUUCGAUCAGUAGCUGGUCUGAGAGGACGACCAGCCACACUGGAACUGAGACACGGUCCAGACUCCUACGGGAGGCAGCAGUGGGGAAUUUUGGACAAUGGGCGCAAGCCUGAUCCAGCCAUUCCGCGUGAGUGAAGAAGGCCUUCGGGUUGUAAAGCUCUUUCGCAAGGGAAGAAACGAUACCGACGAAUAAUCGGUGUUAAUGACGGUACCUUGAUAAGAAGCACCGGCUAACUACGUGCCAGCAGCCGCGGUAAUACGUAGGGUGCGAGCGUUAAUCGGAAUUACUGGGCGUAAAGCGUGCGCAGGCGGUUUUGUAAGUCAGAUGUGAAAUCCCCGGGCUCAACCUGGGAACUGCGUUUGAAACUACAAGGCUAGAGUAUGGUAGAGGGGGGGUAGAAUUCCACGUGUAGCAGUGAAAUGCGUAGAGAUGUGGAGGAAUACCAAUGGGCGAAAGCAGCCCCCUGGACUAAUACUGACGCUCAUGCACGAAAGCGUGGGGAGCAAACAGGAUUAGAUACCCUGGUAGUCCACGCCCUAAACGAUGUCUACUAGUUGUUGGGAGAGUAAAAUCUCUUAGUAACGCAGCUAACGCGUGAAGUAGACCGCCUGGGGAGUACGGUCGCAAGAUUAAAACUCAAAGGAAUUGACGGGGGCCCGCACAAGCGGUGGAUUAUGUGGAUUAAUUCGAUGCAACGCGAAAAACCUUACCUGGCCUUGACAUGUACCGAAUUUAGCAGAGAUGCUUUAGUGCUCGAAAGAGAACGGUAACACAGGUGCUGCAUGGCUGUCGUCAGCUCGUGUCGUGAGAUGUUGGGUUAAGUCCCGCAACGAGCGCAACCCUUGCCAUUAAUUGCCAUCAUUUAGUUGGGCACUUUAAUGGGACUGCCGGUGACAAACCGGAGGAAGGUGGGGAUGACGUCAAGUCCUCAUGGCCCUUAUGGCCAGGGCUUCACACGUAAUACAAUGGUCGGUACAGAGGGUUGCCAACCCGCGAGGGGGAGCCAAUCCCAGAAAGCCGAUCGUAGUCCGGAUUGUAGUCUGCAACUCGACUGCAUGAAGUCGGAAUCGCUAGUAAUCGCGGAUCAGCAUGUCGCGGUGAAUACGUUCCCGGGCCUUGUACACACCGCCCGUCACACCAUGGGAGUGGGUUUCACCAGAAGUAGUUAGUCUAACCGCAAGGAGGACGAUUACCACGGUGGGAUUCAUGACUGGGGUGAAGUCAUAACAAGGUAGCCGUA
RNAcentral lists this ribosomal RNA (1503 nucleotides) under uncultured bacterium. Its description in RNAcentral is "16S ribosomal RNA". It matches the Rfam family "Bacterial small subunit ribosomal RNA". The record is from RNAcentral.